This 253-nucleotide ribosomal RNA is filed under the name uncultured bacterium. Its description in RNAcentral is "partial 16S ribosomal RNA". It matches the Rfam family "Bacterial small subunit ribosomal RNA", at positions 524 to 776 of the family's 1533-position model. The record is from RNAcentral.
UACAGGGGGGGCAAGCGUUGUUCGGAAUUACUGGGCGUAAAGGGUUCGUAGGUGGCUUACUAAGUCAAACGUGAAAUCCCUCAGCUUAACUGGGGAACUGCGUCUGAUACUGGAAAGCUUGAGUGCAGGAGAGGAACGCGGAAUUCCAGGUGUAGCGGUGAAAUGCGUAGAUAUUGGGAAGAACACCAGUGGCGAAGGCGGCUAACUGGUCCGAUACUGACGCUGAGGUGCGAAAGCGUGGGGAGCAAACAGG